UGAUACCAUCCCGAACUCAGAAGCUAAGCCUCUCAUCGCCGAUGAUACUCUGGGGUUCCCCACGGGAAAGUAGGUCAUUGCCAGAA
This 86-nucleotide ribosomal RNA is filed under the name Mariprofundaceae bacterium. Lineage: Bacteria; Pseudomonadati; Pseudomonadota; Candidatius Mariprofundia; Mariprofundales; Mariprofundaceae. The record is from RNAcentral.